Molecule: ribosomal RNA, 223 nt
Filed under: uncultured bacterium
Lineage: Bacteria
Description: partial 16S ribosomal RNA
Rfam family: Bacterial small subunit ribosomal RNA
Source: RNAcentral
GGUUUAAUUCGAUGAUACGCGAGGAACCUUACCCGGGCUUGAAUUGCAGAGGAAGGAUUGGAGACAAUGACGCCCUUCGGGGCCUCUGUGAAGGUGCUGCAUGGUUGUCGUCAGCUCGUGCCGUGAGGUGUCGGCUUAAGUGCCAUAACGAGCGCAACCCCUCUCCUUAGUUGCCAUCAGGUCAGGCUGGGCACUCUGGGGACACUGCCACCGUAAGGUGUGA